This 97-nucleotide non-coding RNA is filed under the name Candidatus Timburyella stercoris. RNAcentral's name for it is "SAM riboswitch (S box leader)". It matches the Rfam family "SAM riboswitch aptamer (S box leader)". Rfam says of the family: The SAM riboswitch is found upstream of a number of genes which code for proteins involved in methionine or cysteine biosynthesis in Gram-positive bacteria. The SAM riboswitch acts at the level of transcription termination control. The record is from RNAcentral. Lineage: Bacteria; Bacillati; Bacillota; Clostridia. RNAcentral also lists the same sequence under 1 other name.
UCUUAUCAAGAGCGACUGAGGGAACAGGCCCUAUGACGUCCGGCAACCUGCAUUUACGGCAAGGUGCUACAUCCUGCGGUUUAAACCGGGAGAUAAG